RNAcentral lists this ribosomal RNA (433 nucleotides) under uncultured bacterium. Its description in RNAcentral is "partial 16S ribosomal RNA". It matches the Rfam family "Bacterial small subunit ribosomal RNA", at positions 29 to 507 of the family's 1533-position model. The record is from RNAcentral.
AGCGAACGCUGGCGGCAGGCUUAACACAUGCAAGUCGAGCGGGCCCUUCGGGGUCAGCGGCAGACGGGUGAGUAACACGUGGGAACGUACCCUUUGGUUCGGAAUAACGCUGGGAAACUAGCGCUAAUACCGGAUACGCCCUUUUGGGGAAAGGCUUGCUGCCGAAGGAUCGGCCCGCGUCUGUUUAGCUAGUUGGUGGGGUAAUGGCCUACCAAGGCGACGAUCAGUAGCUGGUCUGAGAGGAUGAUCAGCCACACUGGGACUGAGACACGGCCCAGACUCGUACGGGAGGCAGCAGUGGGGAAUAUUGGAGAAUGGGCGCAAGCCUGAUCCAGCCAUGCCGCGUGAGUGAUGAAGGCCUUAGGGUUGUAAAGCUCUUUUGUCCGGGACGAUAAUGACGGUACCGGAAGAAUAAGCCCCGGCUAACUUCGUG